RNAcentral lists this ribosomal RNA (520 nucleotides) under uncultured bacterium. RNAcentral's name for it is "bacterial SSU rRNA". It matches the Rfam family "Bacterial small subunit ribosomal RNA", at positions 355 to 893 of the family's 1533-position model. The record is from RNAcentral.
UAGGGAAUAUUGGGCAAUGGGGGCAACCCUGAUCCAGCAAUGCCGCGUGAGUGAUGAAGGCCUUAGGGUUGUAAAGCUCUUUCGCACGCGACGAUGAUGACGGUAGCGUGAGAAGAAGCCCCGGCUAACUUCGUGCCAGCAGCCGCGGUAAUACGAAGGGGGCGAGCGUUGUUCGGAAUUACUGGGCGUAAAGGGUGCGUAGGCGGGUUUUUAAGUCAGAGGUGAAAUCCUGGAGCUCAACCCCAGAACUGCCUUUGAUACUGAAGAUCUUGAGUUCGGGAGAGGUGAGUGGAACUGCGAGUGUAGAGGUGAAAUUCGUAGAUAUUCGCAAGAACACCAGUGGCGAAGGCGGCUCACUGGCCCGAUACUGACGCUGAAGCACGAAAGCGUGGGGAGCAAACAGGAUUAGAUACCCUGGUAGUCCACGCCGUAAAUGAUGAAUGCCAGCCGUUAGUGGGUUUACUCACUAGUGGCGCAGCUAACGCUUUAAGCAUUCCGCCUGGGGAGUACGGUCGCAAGA